This 338-nucleotide long non-coding RNA is filed under the name Brassica napus (rape). RNAcentral describes it as "long non-coding RNA (BNAP_LNC024331)". The record is from RNAcentral. Lineage: Eukaryota; Viridiplantae; Streptophyta; Magnoliopsida; Brassicales; Brassicaceae.
UAUGUCUAGGACGGUUCGGGGGUGUUACAGAGGUGGUAUCAGAGCAUGGUUUCGUCCAUGCUUUCGGAACUCAUGAUUUAAUCGGUUUUUGAAUAUUUUAUCGAGUCAAAAUGAGUCACAAAAGGCAUUAGGGAAACCGGUCACGUCCAGCGAUAGGAUUUUUGGUUUUAGGAAUUUGGAUUGAGAUAGUGGAAUCUAGAACUGUUAGGUUGCUUGGGUAGAAUUGCUAGGUUGCUUGGGUAGAACUGUUAGGUUUCUGGUUAGCAUUGCUAGGUUGUUGUUAGUAGACUAUUGGGAUUAGUUGUCUACUAACUUGUGUGUGAGGUGUUCUUUUGAGU